RNAcentral lists this unclassified non-coding RNA (240 nucleotides) under soil metagenome. Its description in RNAcentral is "partial contains 5.8S ribosomal RNA, internal transcribed spacer 2, and large subunit ribosomal RNA". The record is from RNAcentral.
AACCAUUCUCACCUGCGGCUAGACCUGCGGAAGGAUCAUUACACAAUAAACAUAUGAAGGCUGCACCGCCAACAGGCGGCAAGGCUGGAGUAUUUUAUUACCCUUGUCUUUUGCGCACUUGUUGUUUCCUGGGCGGGUUCGCCCGCCUCCAGGACCACAUGAUAAACCUUUUUUAUGCAGUUGCAAUCAGCGUCAGUACAACAAAUGUAAAUCAUUUACAACUUUCAGCAACGGAUCUCA